Pelobates cultripes (western spadefoot toad) is the source of this 488-nucleotide non-coding RNA. The record is from the annotation of a GenBank genome assembly. NCBI's taxonomy places the organism in Eukaryota, Metazoa, Chordata, Amphibia, Anura, Pelobatidae.
ACUGUCUUUGCGUGAUUCAUUAAUAAUGCUAUGGGUGGAUUAUGAUAGGUGGAGCAAUAACCAGAUGGGAAUUUGCCCAUGAAUGUACCUGUGUUCUUGGAUAUUGAAUAGCAAGUGUAGUUACCUGGGUAUACCGUGACUCCAUCAGGUGGUCUAAUUGGGUGUCCCUGGGUGAUUGGGUAGACCUUUUCCCAUGAUUCACACAUUGAGGAGUUAGUAGUAGAUUGUGCAUAAAGACUCAAGACACAUAGUUCAACAUCGGGAGGUAGAUUUAAAGGCACCGUACCCAGGUGGGGUCUGGCCCCUCCACAUACAUAACAAUUAGUCUUAUUGUGUGAGUUAGCAUUAUAUCUUAUCCAUAGGUUAGUGUCUGAGAACCCAGUUUCCACUGCCAUGGUAUCUUCAAAAGUAGGGUUAGCAAUAGCAACCAUGUCAUGUAAAGUCUUGAUGUGAGGUUUUAGUGGGUUAAUAGUCAUGUGUGUAGUUCC